GCCGGGCGUUGUGGCGGGCGCCUGUGGUCCCAGCUACUUGGGAGGCGGAGGCAGGAGACUCGCUUGAGCCCAGGAGUUGGAGGUUGCUGUGAGCUGUAAUGCCACGGCACUCUGCCCAGGGGGACAGCUUGAGGCUCUGUCUCUCAAAAAAAAAAAAAAAAGACAGAGUCUCAAGCUGUCACCUUGGGUAGAGUACUGUGUUGUCACAGCUCACAGCAACCUCAAAGUCUUGGGCUUAAGCAAUUUUUUUGCC
Molecule: small RNA, 253 nt
Filed under: Otolemur garnettii (small-eared galago)
Lineage: Eukaryota; Metazoa; Chordata; Mammalia; Primates; Galagidae
Description: Metazoan signal recognition particle RNA (ENSOGAG00000026109.1)
Source: RNAcentral